UUACUGAGUGCUUACUAUGUGCCAGGCA
Molecule: non-coding RNA, 28 nt
Filed under: Bos taurus (domestic cattle)
Lineage: Eukaryota; Metazoa; Chordata; Mammalia; Artiodactyla; Bovidae
Also listed under: 3 other names
Source: RNAcentral